Molecule: ribosomal RNA, 301 nt
Filed under: uncultured bacterium
Lineage: Bacteria
Description: partial 16S ribosomal RNA
Rfam family: Bacterial small subunit ribosomal RNA
Source: RNAcentral
CAGUCGCCGCGGGAAUACGUAGGUCCCGAGCGUUGUCCGGAUUUAUUGGGCGUAAAGCGAGCGCAGGCGGUUAGAUAAGUCUGAAGUUAAAGGCUGCGGCUUAACCAUAGUACGCUUUGGAAACUGUUUAACUUGAGUGCAAGAGGGGAGAGUGGAAUUCCAUGUGUAGCGGUGAAAUGCGUAGAUAUAUGGAGGAACACCGGUGGCGAAAGCGGCUCUCUGGCUUGUAACUGACGCUGAGGCUCGAAAGCGUGGGGAGCAAACAGGAUUAGAUACCCCUGUAGUCCCUGUCUCUUAUACA